RNAcentral lists this transfer RNA (77 nucleotides) under Lachnospiraceae bacterium. RNAcentral's name for it is "tRNA-Arg". It matches the Rfam family "tRNA". Rfam says of the family: Transfer RNA (tRNA) molecules are approximately 80 nucleotides in length. Their secondary structure includes four short double-helical elements and three loops (D, anti-codon, and T loops). The record is from RNAcentral. RNAcentral also lists the same sequence under 5 other names. Lineage: Bacteria; Bacillati; Bacillota; Clostridia; Lachnospirales; Lachnospiraceae.
GCACCUGUAGCUCAGCAGGAUAGAGCGUCCGCCUCCUAAGCGGAAGGCCUUGGGUUCGAAUCCCGACAGGUGCGCCA